AGAGUUUGAUCAUGGCUCAGGACGAACGCUGGCGGCGUGCCUAACACAUGCAAGUCGAACGAGGCUGAUCUGGUGGCAACACCAGUGACUGCCUAGUGGCGAACGGGUGAGUAACACGUGAGGAACCUGCCCCGAAGACCGGGAUAACCCUCCGAAAGGAGAGCUAAUACCGGAUACCCCCAUCGGAUCGCAUGAUCUGAUGAGGAAAUGGAUUCCGCUUCGGGAGGGCCUCGCGGCCUAUCAGCUAGUUGGUGGGGUAACGGCCCACCAAGGCAUCGACGGGUAGCUGGUCUGAGAGGACGAUCAGCCACACUGGGACUGAGACACGGCCCAGACUCCUACGGGAGGCAGCAGUGGGGAAUCUUGCGCAAUGGGCGAAAGCCUGACGCAGCAACGCCGCGUGGGGGAUGAAGGCUCUCGGGUUGUAAACCCCUUUCAGCAGGGACGAAUCAAGACGGUACCUGCAGAAGAAGC
Molecule: ribosomal RNA, 474 nt
Filed under: uncultured Acidimicrobiales bacterium
Lineage: Bacteria; Bacillati; Actinomycetota; Acidimicrobiia; Acidimicrobiales
Description: bacterial SSU rRNA
Rfam family: Bacterial small subunit ribosomal RNA
Source: RNAcentral